CCCGAUUACCUACACAGGCACCCCUGUCCUAACUUGUCUGCGCAGAGAGGGUGUUUAAUUCUUCCACCUGGAGGGCGUGCCGCCUUCUAAUUCACUGUGUCUCUGCCUUCUGUAGGUGACCAUUCUUUGUUUUUGCUCCUAAAGUCCCAGCAAGGGGUGCCUCCUGAUUGGGAGUCUUGUCCUCGCUCCUUGCUCCUGGGCGUCUGCAUUUUCACAACGGCCCUUUGUGGUAGGUAGGUCCUCGCCUCCUUCAAACGACCUUGAGUAGCACUGUCCUCUGCCCCCUUUCUGGCUGCCACAGGAAGAGGCAUGACUGCUGUGAGUCCAGGGCUUGAAGCCAUUUUAGACUCAGGCAGGAAAAAUAAACAGAUGGGGGAGGAGGCUGCCCUCACGUCCUCGCUCUCAUUAUUCACCCAUCCCCAGUGGUCAGUGGGUGACGUAUUUAGGACUCAGACUUGCAGUUUGUCGACUGACUAAACAAUAGGGCUUUAUUGAGCAACUCCCAUGGGCCCGUGUCUCUUAGGCCUAUUUUACAGAAGGAAAAGCUGAGUGAACACAAAGAAAUUGCUCAGAACCAGACAUGGCUGGGGCUGCCUUGGGGUGGUUUUUGUGCUGAAUCACGGGCCUGACUGCUGCCCCAGAGCAAAGGAGAACCGUCUCCUGUGGUCGGUGGAGUUUCACUGCUUCCUCUUCUGACUUUUUCCACUCGGACUGAUCCUCGUCCUUGCCUGGCCACUUCUGCGUGUCCCACAGAGGCGGAACUUUGGGCCAGGUGGGCCCAGGGGGAGAGACCAGAAGGACAGAACAGCCGCUUAGACGGGCUUUCCAGGUGCACUGCCGUAUUUGGUAUACAAAUAACACCUCACGUCUGUGGUGAUGGGUCCUUAGGAAUAGACAGAGAAAUCGCCUUGGAAUUUGGUGACUUCAGGACAUGGCUUUGUUUUAAAAAAUUCAUUUCCAGACCUCAGCCGACAAUUUUUCCCAGCAAGAUGGUUGACCCGGGGCCACUAAAAUGGACAACUCUUUGGAAUGAGUCUGGUGAAGAAGAGGAACUGUAGGCAUAAAGUUAGAGCACAACCUUGGAGCAAGCUGAACUGCAACUGGAGAAGCAGACUUCAGGGGCCCAGACGAAGAGAGGACAGCUCGCUGUGGGUUUAACGUUGACCCUGAUUGCAGACAACCAUCGUCAGGCAGCUGCAGUGCAUCUUCAGCUCAACCUGUUAGAUGGACAAAGGGGGCCUUCAUCCAGGAGGAUGCUGGGGAGGCAGGACCAAGGCUCUGCAUUGCUGAGAUGUGUUUGGCUUGACUGUACCAGCCAAAAACAAGAAGUAACAAACGUAAUGAGGUGGUUGCUGAUCUGUAACCCCCCGGUGAACCUGUUGCAUCUGACAGGCCGUAAAUCCUGAAGCCACUCAAAAGAACUGCAACUGCAAUUGACAUGUUCAGCAAGCUGUUCAAUAACAUGUCGUGGCGUUUUAUACACAUUCAUUCAACAAGCAUUUAUGUACCAGGCACUGUAAGAGAUGCCAGUGUGAGCUUCAGGCUUGGACUCCUUUGAAUUUCUGAACCACAUCUGGGAAAGAGCUAUAAUGUGUGUUUGGGAGAUUAGCUGCCUGAUGGGAAUCAGGGAUGGGAUCCUGGAGCCAACAGAUUGGUGUGGCUAUGUCCCAAAUGAACCCCGUUUUAAUCUGGAUGAAUAGAAAGAGCGUCUAGAAAAAAAUGUCAGGCCGUGUCUGAAGAAUUGUGCAAAAGUCUGAUGUGCCUGGCUUCCAGCUUGAAGAUUGCCUCAUGGUCUCCAAAGACAGUUGGAGCUCCAACCAUCACAUCUUCAUUUCAGUUGGAGCAUAUUUAUGAAUUAUUCAUGUAAUUAAAAAAACUUCAUGAUGACGUACGAAAGCUGUGGAGUGUUUGGAGCAGGCAGCUCGAGAGACGCAUCAGGAGGGGGUAUGUGCAUUUCACGCACUCCGAGAUGACUUGUUGAGAAGCCUUCUCCUCAAAGCCAGUGACCCAGGGGCCAGUCCCCGUCACCGCCUAGGAAUGAUGGGAUGAGUCCACAGCCCAGAGGAUGACUUCCUGGAGUCGGCACAUCACAGAUUUGUCAUGUAACAUUCUCCAGACUUCAGGCAUCCAUGACGAUGACAUGGAUAUGGUUCUCGUCGAGGGAUAAAAAAAAAUUCUUUCGCAACUUGCAACCAAACAGAAACCCAUCAACAAAAGAACAAAAAAAUGGCAAGUGUUGGUGGC
RNAcentral lists this long non-coding RNA (2244 nucleotides) under Equus caballus (horse). RNAcentral's name for it is "lncRNA (ENSECAG00000059611.1)". The record is from RNAcentral. Lineage: Eukaryota; Metazoa; Chordata; Mammalia; Perissodactyla; Equidae.